This 396-nucleotide RNase P RNA is filed under the name Actinomycetota bacterium. RNAcentral's name for it is "RNase P RNA component class A". It matches the Rfam family "Bacterial RNase P class A". Rfam says of the family: Ribonuclease P (RNase P) is a ubiquitous endoribonuclease, found in archaea, bacteria and eukarya as well as chloroplasts and mitochondria. Its best characterised activity is the generation of mature 5'-ends of tRNAs by cleaving the 5'-leader elements of precursor-tRNAs. The record is from RNAcentral. Lineage: Bacteria; Bacillati; Actinomycetota.
UGGGUUGGCCAGGCAGCCGCGCGCCGCGUAAGCGGCUCGAGGAACGUCCGGGCUCCGCAGAGCAGAGUGGUGGGUAACACCCACUCGGGGUAACCCGCAGGAAAGUGCCACAGAAAACAGACCGCCCGCCUUCCCUCCCGUGGAAACACAGGGUGGAAGCGCAGGUAAGGGUGAAACGGUGGUGUAAGAGACCACCAGUUCCCUGGGUGACCAGGGAAGCUAGGUAAACCCCGCUCGGAGCAAGGCCAGACAGGGCAUGUUUGAGGGCUGCUCGCCCGAGUGUCCGGGUAGGCCGCUGGAGGGCGCCGGUAACGGCGUUCGUAGAUGGAUGGCUGCCGCUCCCGCACCGGCAACGGCGCGGGAGAACAGAACCCGGCGUACCGGCCAACCCAUCCA